UGGUUCAGGAAGAGACUUAUUUUUUAAAUUUAGAACCUUUGGGAAGGAUGAGCUAUCCAUGACCACAGUAAAAUGGUGGCCAAUGAGAUGGAAUUUGAAUCUCUUUAUCCCAUUUUUGACAGCUAAUAUUUCUUUGUAGACCGAAUGGUAGUGCUUCUAAGGCUCUGAGAAUUCUCCACUAGCAUGUCCGUAGAUAUGUUUUUCUCCUUGUAUCUCUUCGAUGGGAACCGCACCCCAGUGGGUGUCACUAGCA
Molecule: unclassified non-coding RNA, 253 nt
Filed under: Hevea brasiliensis (rubber tree)
Lineage: Eukaryota; Viridiplantae; Streptophyta; Magnoliopsida; Malpighiales; Euphorbiaceae
Source: RNAcentral